GAAGAUGGCGACCGGCGCACGGGUGAGUAACACGGUAUCCAACCUGCCGAUAACUCUGGAAUAGCCUUUCGAAAGAAAGAUUAAUACCGGGAUAGUAUACGAAUAUCGCAUGAUAUUUUUAUUAAAGAAUUUCGGUUAUCGAUGGGGAUGCGUUCCAUUAGUUUGUUGGCGGGGUAACGGCCCACCAAGACUACGAUGGAUAGGGGUUCUGAGAGGAAGGUCCCCCACAUUGGAACUGAGACACGGUCCAAACUCCUACGGGAGGCAGCAUG
RNAcentral lists this ribosomal RNA (272 nucleotides) under uncultured bacterium. RNAcentral describes it as "partial 16S ribosomal RNA". It matches the Rfam family "Bacterial small subunit ribosomal RNA", at positions 84 to 353 of the family's 1533-position model. The record is from RNAcentral.